Molecule: long non-coding RNA, 842 nt
Organism: Mastomys coucha (southern multimammate mouse)
Lineage: Eukaryota; Metazoa; Chordata; Mammalia; Rodentia; Muridae
Exons: 2
Source: RefSeq, a predicted model, not a curated record
AGGAUGUGGUCACCGGGAUCAGGGAGAGUCAAUAGCAACAGUAGCCAGCUCAGGUCCGAGAGACCACUAUGAACUGACGGCAGGUUCCCAGGCUGGGAGGGAAGCCUGGCCGAGUUCUCCAAAGGAGCAGACAGCUAGAGAAGGAGCUGUCAGCGCAGCUGUCUCCCAGCAGGGACCUGGACUUCCUCCAGCUGCACAAAACGGGAACAACAACUGUCACAUGCAAGCCUGAGCUGAGAUCCACAAGGAAGCACAGCCUGAGAUGGAUGGGAGAGGCAGGUGUGUCCGGAGGGAGGCGCUGCCUGGCAGACAAGGAUGCGGAGAGCCUUUGUCUUACUGUCAUGACUCCUAAGGCGUGUCGUUACCUGCUCCCACCAGCAGCAGUGGGCCUGGAACCCAGCAGCAAACACACCAUUCACUGGUGAUAUUUUUACUUUUUUUUAUGUCUGUUCCAUCUCCCAGGCUGCAGAGCCGAUCGACGUCUGUUGCUAUGGUAAACAAGAGAGGCUCAGGGAAGAAAUGGUUCACUCUGCCUCACAGGUCCGGGGGCACAGCCCAUCAUGGUGGGAAAGUCCAACAGGCAGGGGCUUGAGCCACUUGGCCACAUCACAUCCACAAUCAAGGACAGAGAUUCAUCAAAGCGAUUCUGGGUCCUCUGGAGUUCACACCCAACCCCAGCCUUCACACCUCCCUCGACCUGACACCCAAAUCCAUCAGUUUUAAGCCAUAACUUUUCACCUCUUCUCCCCAUUGGCUCAGAACCAUGUUGUAACACAACUUGCAUUUAGUCUAAUUUUAAAGUCCCUGUAGACUUUAACAAUGCUUUAUAAGUUUAAAAUCUC